RNAcentral lists this non-coding RNA (21 nucleotides) under Caenorhabditis elegans. Lineage: Eukaryota; Metazoa; Nematoda; Chromadorea; Rhabditida; Rhabditidae. The record is from RNAcentral.
UAAGGUGAUGAACCCCAAAAA